UACGGAGGGGACUAGCGUUGUUCGGAAUUACUGGGCGUAAAGCGCACGUAGGCGGAUUAGUAAGUCAGAGGUGAAAUCCCAGGGCUCAACCCUGGAACUGCCUUUGAUACUGCUAGUCUUGAGUUCGAGAGAGGUGAGUGGAAUUCCGAGUGUAGAGGUGAAAUUCGUAGAGAUUCGGAGGAGCACCAGUGGCGAAGGAGGCUCACUGGGUCGAUACUGACGCUGAGGUGCGAAAGUGUGGGGAGCAAACAGG
Molecule: unclassified non-coding RNA, 253 nt
Filed under: uncultured Rhodobacterales bacterium
Lineage: Bacteria; Pseudomonadati; Pseudomonadota; Alphaproteobacteria; Rhodobacterales
Description: contains 16S-23S intergenic spacer region
Rfam family: Bacterial small subunit ribosomal RNA
Source: RNAcentral